RNAcentral lists this ribosomal RNA (460 nucleotides) under uncultured Verrucomicrobiota bacterium. RNAcentral's name for it is "uncultured Verrucomicrobia bacterium partial 16S ribosomal RNA". The record is from RNAcentral. Lineage: Bacteria; Pseudomonadati; Verrucomicrobiota.
GACUACCGGGGUAUCUAAUCCCGUUUGCUCCCCACGCUUUCGUGCCUCAGCGUCAGUUUUUAUCCAGUAAGCUGCCUUCGCAAUUGGUGUUCCUCUUAAUAUCUAUGCAUUUCACUGCUCCACUAAGAAUUCCGCUUACCUCUCUAAAACUCUAGAUGUGUAGUUUUAAAUGCAGUUCUGGGGUUGAGCCCCAGGAUUUCACAUUUAACACACACACCCGCCUACGCACCCUUUACGCCCAGUGAAUCCGAGUAACGCUCGUAGUCUCUGUAUUACCGCGGCUGCUGGCACAGAGUUUGCCACUACUUCCUCUUUAAGUUAACUCAAGCUGGGCUAUGAACCCAGUUUUUGCUCCUUAAUGACAGGGGUUUACAAUCCGAAGACCUUCCUCCCCCACGCGGCGUCGCACCAUCAGGCUUGCGCCCAUUGUGAAUAAUUCCCCACUGCAGCCUCCCGUAGG